Molecule: long non-coding RNA, 480 nt
Filed under: Panax ginseng (ginseng)
Lineage: Eukaryota; Viridiplantae; Streptophyta; Magnoliopsida; Apiales; Araliaceae
Description: long non-coding RNA (PGIN_LNC019213)
Source: RNAcentral
ACUCUUGUAGGAAAGUAAGAAAUGGUUUGGAAAUACUAUAUUGGGCAUCAAUCACGGCUCGGGAAAAGGCAAGGUAAUUGUCAUAUGGGUGGGCCAGGCCAGGCUUGUUUUAAUUGUUGAAGGUGUGCAAUGGGCAUGGAAAGAAGUGGAGCAAAGCGAUGGACUCAAAUUUCCAAGAUGAGUAGCAUUAGUAUGACUAUUCUUUAAUUACUCCAGAAGCAACCCAACCAACCCCUCGUGUGAUUUUUUAGCUAGAGGUCGUGUGAAUGGCAUAUAUUUUUAUUGGGAAAUUAGAAAUAUUAUGUCAUUUAAACAUAUUUUAUAUGUAUAAUAUUAGAAGAGAGAGAGAGAGGGUAAAUAUUUUUGGGAAGGGGGUAGGGUAGCUAGAGUCUCAGGAUGAUUAUAAAAGUAUGGGAAAAGAAUGUAUAGAGAAAAUGGGGUUUGACUUUGGUAGUAUUUCUUGGAGUCCUUAGGUUGUGG